Molecule: ribosomal RNA, 253 nt
Filed under: uncultured Armatimonadota bacterium
Lineage: Bacteria; Bacillati; Armatimonadota
Description: uncultured Armatimonadetes bacterium partial 16S ribosomal RNA
Rfam family: Bacterial small subunit ribosomal RNA
Source: RNAcentral
UACGUAGGGGGCGAGCGUUGCCCGAAUUUACUGGGCGUAAAGCGCACGUAGGCGGCUCCGUAAGUCUGGUGUGAAAUCUCACGGCUCAACCGAGAGGCUGCACCGGAUACUGCGGAGCUCGAGGACGGGAGAGGAGAUCGGAAUUCCCGGUGUAGCGGUGAAAUGCAUUGAUAUCGGGAGGAACACCAGUGGCGAAGGCGGAUCUCUGGCCCGUUGCUGACGCUGAGGUGCGAAAGCUGGGGGAGCGAAAGGG